GACGAACGCUGGCGGCGUGCUUAACACAUGCAAGUCGAACGAUGAAGCCCAGCUUGCUGGGUGGAUUAGUGGCGAACGGGUGAGUAACACGUGAGUAACCUGCCCUUGACUCUGGGAUAAGCGCUGGAAACGGCGUCUAAUACCGGAUACGACCUGCCCCGGCAUCGGGUGCGGGUGGAAAGUUUUUCGGUCAAGGAUGGACUCGCGGCCUAUCAGCUUGUUGGUGAGGUAAUGGCUCACCAAGGCGACGACGGGUAGCCGGCCUGAGAGGGUGACCGGCCACACUGGGACUGAGACACGGCCCAGACUCCUACGGGAGGCAGCAGUGGGGAAUAUUGCACAAUGGGCGAAAGCCUGAUGCAGCAACGCCGCGUGGGGGAUGACGGCCUUCGGGUUGUAAACCUCUUUUAGUAGGGAAGAAGGACUUCGGUUUGACGGUACCUGCAGAAAAAGCACCGGCUAACUACGUGCCAGCAGCCGCGGUAAUACGUAGGGUGCAAGCGUUGUCCGGAAUUAUUGGGCGUAAAGAGCUCGUAGGCGGUUUGUCGCGUCUGCUGUGAAAACCCGAGGCUCAACCUCGGGCCUGCAGUGGGUACGGGCAGACUAGAGUGCGGUAGGGGAGAAUGGAAUUCCUGGUGUAGCGGUGGAAUGCGCAGAUAUCAGGAGGAACACCGAUGGCGAAGGCAGUUCUCUGGGCCGUUACUGACGCUGAGGAGCGAAAGCGUGGGGAGCGAACAGGAUUAGAUACCCUGGUAGUCCACGCCGUAAACGUUGGGAACUAGAUGUGGGGACCUUUCCACGGUCUCCGUGUCGCAGCUAACGCAUUAAGUUCCCCGCCUGGGGAGUACGGCCGCAAGGCUAAAACUCAAAGGAAUUGACGGGGCCCGCACAAGCGGCGGAGCAUGCGGAUUAAUUCGAUGCAACGCGAAGAACCUUACCAAGGCUUGACAUAUACCGGAAACUUCCAGAAAUGGUUGCCCCGCAAGGUCGGUAUACAGGUGGUGCAUGGUUGUCGUCAGCUCGUGUCGUGAGAUGUUGGGUUAAGUCCCGCAACGAGCGCAACCCUCGUUCUAUGUUGCCAGCACGUCAUGGUGGGAACUCAUAGGAGACUGCCGGGGUCAACUCGGAGGAAGGUGGGGAUGACGUCAAAUCAUCAUGCCCCUUAUGUCUUGGGCUUCACGCAUGCUACAAUGGCCGGUACAAAGGGCUGCGAUACCGUAAGGUGGAGCGAAUCCCAAAAAGCCGGUCUCAGUUCGGAUUGAGGUCUGCAACUCGACCUCAUGAAGUCGGAGUCGCUAGUAAUCGCAGAUCAGCAACGCUGCGGUGGAUACGUUCCCGGGCCU
This 1343-nucleotide ribosomal RNA is filed under the name uncultured bacterium. RNAcentral's name for it is "bacterial SSU rRNA". It matches the Rfam family "Bacterial small subunit ribosomal RNA", at positions 28 to 1381 of the family's 1533-position model. The record is from RNAcentral.